RNAcentral lists this transfer RNA (68 nucleotides) under Caenorhabditis remanei. It matches the Rfam family "tRNA". Rfam says of the family: Transfer RNA (tRNA) molecules are approximately 80 nucleotides in length. Their secondary structure includes four short double-helical elements and three loops (D, anti-codon, and T loops). The record is from Rfam by way of RNAcentral. Lineage: Eukaryota; Metazoa; Nematoda; Chromadorea; Rhabditida; Rhabditidae.
GGCCGCAUGGCAGAUAAUGCGUCUGCCUACGGAGCAGAAGAUUGUAGGUUCGAAUCCUGCCGUGGUCU